Molecule: ribosomal RNA, 236 nt
Filed under: Cladonia verticillata
Lineage: Eukaryota; Fungi; Ascomycota; Lecanoromycetes; Lecanorales; Cladoniaceae
Description: partial 18S ribosomal RNA
Source: RNAcentral
UACCGAAGCCCUUAGCCGGCGACUCUAAAGAAAUCAGCUAUAGUCGCCCCUCCGGGGGCUGGCGACGCCAUCAAUCUGUGUCUGGGAGUGCUCUCCAACAGGGGAGCAUUACCGGCAGCUCGCUGUAUCGAGUUCACAGGUCAAACGAUAGCGGCCACUUCGGUGGUUGAGAUAUGAUCGGCCUCCAGCUGUUACCUAGCUGGGGAGAUUUUGCGGAACCUGCGGAAGGAUCAUUA